UGGGGAAUAUUGCACAAUGGGCGCAAGCCUGAUGCAGCCAUGCCGCGUGUAUGAAGAAGGCCUUCGGGUUGUAAAGUACUUUCAGCGAGGAGGAAGGCGUUGUGGUUAAUAACCGCAACGAUUGACGUUACUCGCAGAAGAAGCACCGGCUAACUCCGUGCCAGCAGCCGCGGUAAUACGGAGGGUGCAAGCGUUAAUAGGAAUUACUGGGCGUAAAGCGCACGCAGGCGGUCUGUCAAGUCGGAUGUGAAAUCCCCGGGCUCAACCUGGGAACUGCAUCCGAAACUGGGAGGCUAGAGUCUUGUAGAGGGGGGUAGAAUUCCAGGUGUAGCGGUGAAAUGCGUAGAGAUCUGGAGGAAUACCGGUGGCGAAGGCGGCCCCCUGGACAAAGACUGACGCUCAGGUGCGAAAGCGUGGGGAGCAAACA
This 427-nucleotide ribosomal RNA is filed under the name uncultured bacterium. RNAcentral describes it as "partial 16S ribosomal RNA". It matches the Rfam family "Bacterial small subunit ribosomal RNA", at positions 355 to 774 of the family's 1533-position model. The record is from RNAcentral.